This 735-nucleotide long non-coding RNA is filed under the name Mytilus galloprovincialis (Mediterranean mussel). The record is from RNAcentral. Lineage: Eukaryota; Metazoa; Mollusca; Bivalvia; Mytilida; Mytilidae.
GCAAAAAUUGAGUUAGCUUUGUUCACUUUUUCGCAUAUGUGUCUUUCAGAGGUUAAAUCUUCAUCAAUUACUACUCCAAUAUCCUUCUCUUCUUUACAUUUGCUAAAAUCAUGACCUAAUAGCUUAUAACUUGUCUUGUCAUCUCUCACCCCUCUACUUAUAUUUAUGUGUUUGCAUUUUUCUGGAUGGAACUUCAACAGCCAUGUAUCAAUCCAUUUCUCGAGAUUGUUUAGGUCAUUUUGUAGUAUAAUUUAUUGAAUCCAGAUAUCUGGCGUGUUUCCCUUUUUUGUACAUUUUCGAUUUUGUGAAUGGAUUUCUUUUUGAAAGGUGCCCAUACUGAACUAGCAUAGUCUAAGUGUGUUCUCACUAAUGUUUUGUAAUGUGGUAUGAAGAUUUUUUCAUUUAAGUUUUUAAAUGUCCUUCUGAUUGCAGCAAAAAUUGAAUUAGCUUUGUUCACUUUUUCGCAUAUGUGUCUUUCAAAGGUUAAAUCUUCAUCAAUUACUACUCCAAUAUCUUUCUCUUCUUUAGAACUUUGCUAAUAUCAUGACCUAAUAGUUUAUAACUUGUUUUGUCAUCUCUUACCCCUCUACUUAUAUUUAUGUGUUUGCAUUUUUCUGGAUGGAACUUCAACAGCCAUGUAUCACUCCAUUUCUCGAGAUUUUUAAGGACAUUUUGCAGAGAUAUUUUGAUCUGAUUUGCUUUCAAUAAUUCUGAAGAUUUUUGUGUCAUCCGCGA